AGUGAUGGAGACUGCAAGACGUAGGCUAUUUCUUCUUUUCUGAAUGUGACUGAUAAGUUCUUCUCUAUUGUUGCAGGUUAAAAUCAUUUGCUCCAGGGUCAUAACAAGUAAGCUGUGUCCAGCUAAUGCUAUACGCCAAAGAGAUCUGGAAAAUAAUAACACUCACUCAUGCAUCAGCUACAGAAGAAAGACCACAUGAUGAUCAUAAUCACGAUGACCUGCUAACCACUGUCAAAAAACCGUUAACUCAAACUCUAUGGCCACAUCACAAGGUCUUCAGGGCUCUCAAAGACCUUCCUUCAGGGAACAGUACAAGGAAGAAGAAGAAGAGGAAGACAAGAGAAAGCGAUGGGAAGACAAUAUCAAAGAUUAGACAGGCCUGUCAGUGAAUGAAAUUCUAUACAAGGCAAAGGACAGAGAGGAAUGGAGAAAGACGGUUGACAGAUCUUGUAUGGUGCCCCAAUGGUCCAACAAACUAAGGGAUAAGUGAAGCUGGCUAGUCAAUAGUGUUGUCAUUGCAAAGUAAAUAUUUUGUCUGAGUGAUGGCUAAAAAAAAACCCAAUCACCUAUCUAUUUCUAAAGAGAACAACUAGCCAUUCAUUUGACACUCAAUACUCUCUUUAAAAGGAAACCUAUACUGGUACAGAUAACAUCAAGUAGUUCAUCAAGAUUGUUUUUACAAAGGUUAUAGCAAUUCACUCUUGUCUGUCUGUCUGUUUGGUACAAAGGUUUUGUACAUGUUAUUCCCACACCCUUAUUUCUCCUACACCAAUUACCCCAUUAUCAAGUUGAAACUUUGCACAAUUAUUAAUUGGCAUAGACAAGACAUGAAUAAAAAAAAGUUAAUUAAGUACUGGUAAUUUAUUAUUUUAUUUGAUACCUACAAUGGAAAUUAAUCAUUCAGUAUUCAUAGAUAUGGUUAAAUAUGUAGGGUUUCAUCCUCUUAGAUAUUGAACCACACCCAUUCUAGGAUCAACUUGAACUUGAGACAUUUAUUUAGAGUACCUAACAAAAUAAAUCAAUGAAAAAAUUCACCAAUGAGUCAAUGAAUUAUCAAAUAAGGGAAAUGUUAUACAUCAUUGAGAGAUAGUUGUAAGUGCAGUGUUCUUUCCUAUAGAUACCAGUAACCUUUGUUUUUAAAAAUAGGAUUUUUUACAUUUUGCUUGUUUUUUCCUUUGCUCUGUCAUUGGGCUGAUUUAACAAUCAACAAGUUUUAAAUAAUUAUAAAUUUUUAUUGACAUCAUUUAGAAAAAAAAAAAGAAAGAAAGAAAACGUUUGAAAUUUAUAAAUAUUCCAUAACUGUAAAUUACUUUAUAAAAUAAUAUUUUAUGGCAGAUCAAAACAAGAAAAAGACUAGAUUAUGAAAAUUGUCGGUGAGUAAAAAAAACUCAGCAAAACUAAUUUUUUACUAAGCCUACUGAUGCAAGCGACUGAUAGUUUGAACAAAGAAUAUGUUUAAUGUAGACAGUACACAUUAUUAUAAUUAGAAAAAAAAAAAAACAAGGAAUGUCGACUGAGGGGGAGGGGGAAAUAAUUACAGACCAUCAUGUAGUAAUAUUAGAAUCUUUAUAGGACUGACUAAUUGAAAUCUUGAAUUAGAGUCUGUGAAACAAAGCCAUUUUAAAAACGUUUCCCUGUAACUGGUAGUAAGUUCAGUCAAGACAAUACUGUGACAAUACUGUGAAUAGAGACAGACAUUUUUAUAAAGCAGCAGUUUCUUUUAUGAACAUGUAUCAAAGAAUCACAAGGGACACUGCACUCUGACUUUUAAUCCCAUGUGCAACUAAUAUUCAUGGUCAUUUGACAGGGACUCUGGUGAGAGAGUUGAGUGUCAAAGAAAAUUUAAAACGGACCAUCUAAAUUAAUCACUAAAAAAAGUGAAAGAAAAGAAGAAAGAUUUGAAUAAAUUUCAUUCUGUGAUUAAAUAAAAGCCACAAACUGAUGCUUGUUCAAAGUUCAAAACAGAAACUUGAACAUUAGAAUCAAUCAAAUAAAAUCAUAUUAAGCAUACAUGUAAUAAACUUAAAAUGGGACAUUCAAAACUAAAAAGCCUCAUUUGAGAUUUUAAUUCUUUCUAUACAAACAACCAUUUCAAUCAAAACAAAAAUCAUUAGAACACACUAAAAAAAUAAUUACAAUUAUUUGUAAAUUAAUGUUGGUAAAAUUUUUAUACAGUAGUUCAGAAAUGUGUGUGCCUACUCAUGCUCUUUCUUAUCUUAAAAAAAUGUGUGUGUGUGUGUGCAGUGAUUAAAAACAGACAGUUGAAAGUCAAUGACAACUUUUUUUCAGUACCGAUUCUUUAAAUGUUAAAGUCGUAGUAUCGUAGUAUGUAUUAAAUGCCAAAAAGUUUGAAGGUAUACAUCUAUGUUUAUAAAAAAAUGUUAACAGCUGCAAAAUUGACUUGAAAGAGGUCUCAAAAGUCAACAUUACCAGACAAAUGCAUCCUUAAUAUCAAUAUCAAUUUCAAGCUAUUGUUAAUACUGCUACUUUCAAUUUUAACAUAUAACUAAGUUAUAGAACAAAUAUCAAUUAUCAUUGAAUAAUUGGUUUAAACUAAUGCACAACCCUUGAUUGAUAGAAUGUUGACCAAAAGUGUUAAUUAUUCUGAGCAGUUCAACAAUAAAAAAAAAGUUUUAUUAAGAGAUUUUCAUUAUGCUUAAUUGUCAUGUUCAAAUCAUUUAAAAUUAAAACAGUAUCAAAUAUUAAAAAACAGUAAUAAAAAUUCCAAUAAGGUCUAAACUCUACAAUAGUACAAUGCUGCUUAUAUAUGUUGAUAAAUUGAAAACUACACAUUAAUACUAGGAAGUAUAUACAAAAAUUGCAGUAAAAAAACACAUUCAUUUCAACCAUUAUAAAAUUGUAUUGCCAACAAACUGUACAAAUAUUAAGUUUGUGUUGAAAAAUUAACUCACUAUUUAGUGUUCGUUUGGUGAUGAAGGAUGAAAAUAUUUACACUGAGGUCUUGUAUUUAAAAUAAACACAGUUCUGGCUGCUAAUGAGCCUGAAUAUUUGUAAUACAAAAAUUAAAAUUGGCUUUUGUUUUCUCUUUUUUUUUUUUUUUUUUUAAUGUCUGACAUUUAUUCAGUUAUAAAGGUAGUAGUACAAGCCUCCUUUAGGAUGGUAGGGGAUGGUCUAAAGCUCAUUACCGGACAGAAAAUGAAUACAAUAACAGAUGUUGACGAAUUAUUGUAGAUUUCAUUGUCUUUAAGUACUGUUAUAUCAUAACAUUUAAUGACGGAAACUCUAUAUCAAUCAUGUUGUUGAUUAUGCUGCUACUAAAUUUGCAUAAAGGAAUCCAAUAUGGAAUCUCAUUUCACCAUUUUCUUCUCAAAUACUUCUGUACAAUGUUAAGUAAUUUUAAGUUUCUCUCAUCAUUUGAAGCUGGUCUAGUACAAAGACAAGAAUGUUUUGAAGAACUUGAAAGAUGGCCAACAGGUUUGCUUAUGGCUAGAAUUUUUUUUCAUGGACCAACAGCAAAAAAAAAAAGACAAAAUUGGAAAAAAAAAAAAAAAAAAAAAAAACAA
This is a long non-coding RNA of Biomphalaria glabrata, 3524 nucleotides long. RefSeq lists it as uncharacterized. The transcript is spliced from 2 exons. The record is from RefSeq and is a predicted model, not a curated record. Lineage: Eukaryota; Metazoa; Mollusca; Gastropoda; Planorbidae.